Daktulosphaira vitifoliae (grape phylloxera) is the source of this 3509-nucleotide long non-coding RNA. RefSeq lists it as uncharacterized. The transcript has 3 exons. Lineage: Eukaryota; Metazoa; Arthropoda; Insecta; Hemiptera; Phylloxeridae. The record is from RefSeq and is a predicted model, not a curated record.
AUUGGCAUGAUAAAUGGAGGAUUUUAAAUUUAGGUCCGCGUACUGGUCAAGGGGUUCAUAUGUGUGGAGAGAUCAUAUAAAUAGAGGCCACCACACUAAUAACUUUAGUGAAGUUUCAGUGAGAAUUUUUUAGGAAAAUGUAUUAAGUAGAGUUAAAGCAUACAAUGUUAUUUCAAUUAUUGAUUUUUGUUGUACCAAUUUGGAACAUUAUUAUAGAAAAAAAUUUCUCGAGUUUUCUAAUGAUAGAAAUGCAACUGCUUGUAAAUUUUUUGAAAAAAUUACAAAAUUAACUGAUUAUGUGACCCAAGAAGAUAUUAAAGUGGAUAAUGAAGAAUACUAUGUACCAAGCCAAAAAAAUAAACAGUUGAUGUAUUGUGUUAUGCCAUCUAUAGAUAUUUGUUCGUGUACAGCUAGAAUGUAUGGAAAGUUUUGUAAACAUCAAGGUAUUGUAUACAAGUUUUUUAAUAAAGUUGGAGUUAAUUUCCCUCCUGUUACAAUAGAGGAUAAACAUUCAAUUGCACCAUUAGCAUUAAGUAAUAAAACACCAAAUAAAUCAUUUUAUGAAGAUCUUUUACCAUCAGAGGUUAUUCAUAAAAAUGCAUUGACAGUUGAAGAAGUUAAAUUAAAACCAGUAAAUGUAAUAGAAAAUACAGAAAACAAUAUUAAUGAAAAUAGCAUCUUUGGCAAUAUGGUUGAAGAAAAAAGUACUAUUUCAGAAAAUACUUGUUUGCCAAUAAUAGAAGAAAUCAAUCAAAUUUUGUUGAAUAAUAAUACUAAGUAUGGAGGAUCAAUCAAAAUUUACUGAAAUUUAAAAAUAGAUUUAAAAAAAUAAAAUCAGAAGGGCAGUUUAACACAUUUUUAGCCAAUGCUGGAGGAACCUCUUUACCUUAAAGACUAAUAGAUAGUGCAACAAUAUGAGUUAAGCCAACCACUAUUUCUAGGAGGAAACCAAGCAUAACAAAAGGAAGCAAACGUCUUUUGGCAGACCAGCAAUUUCAGAAAACAAUCGCCCUAAGAAACCAAGAAAUAUACUUCAAAACAUAACUAUCUGUACGCCUAAUGCAAAAUCGCACUAAUUUAUUUCUGUUAUUACAUUUUUUAAAUAAUAUAUUUAUAAAUAAUUUAUAAAAUUAGUGUUUUCUAGAUAUUAAUAAUAAUAGUUUACUGAUAUCAACUGUUAUCAUAAAUAAUGAGUAGCCAAUCAGAGAGGCAAAUUUAUUGCUGGGUUACAUUUCGUGUGCAGAAUGUUAAUAUGCCGCCCGAUAAAAGCUAUAUUUGCUUCACCAGCUGAAGCGUUUGAUAUCUUAAAAUCUAAGAAAAAAUUGUUAUCAUUACAACCGCCUUCUAUUAUUCGAAUCAAUUCGGACCGUACGCUGCAUCAAAGGAGUUAUAUGAAAAAACUCCACUGUGAAUUGGAGACUCGUAAAAAUAAUGGCGAAUCUGAUCUAAUUAUUAAAUAUGUGAAAGGAACACCGAAAAUUGUUAUAAAAAAUAACCGUUCAGUAAAUCUCCGAAAUGAUAAUUUUUUAUAAUUAAUAUUUUUUUUCAAAAUGUUCGUGGUCUAUUAACAAAGAUAAAUUUUUUACGAAAUGCCUUAUUAAAUGUGAAUUAUGAUAUAGUUUGUUUAAAUGAAACAUGGUUAAAUUAUAAUAUUUUUGAUGCGGAACUUGGUUUUAAUAAUUAUAAUUUAUAUAGAGAUGAUCGUAAUUUGUCGUACGGUAAACUGCGUGGUGGUGGUGUGUUAAUUGCAAUAAAUAAAAAAAUGUGUAGUGAAUUAUUAAAUGUUCCUCUUGUAACUGGAAUCGAACAAUUAUUUCUAAAAUUCACUGUAAAUAAAAUAAAAAUAGUUUUAGGUUGUGUAUAUAUUCCACCUGAUGCAACUAUUGAAAUGUAUUCUAAAUAAUGUGAUGAUAUAGAGUAUAUAUUUUAACUAUCCUGAUUACCAUUUUAUUAUUACUGGUGAUUUUAAUUUAAAUAGCUACGAUUGGUCUAUCGAAUCAAGUAUUCAAGGUAAUGUCUCUGGAGAUAUACUAUAUAAUUCUUUUGUAAAUCUUUUAAAUUUAAAACAAUGUAAUUACAUUAAAAACUCUUUAGGUCAUACUCUUGAUUGUAUAUUUCUUAGUUCUGAUGUAGAACUUACUUCUAUUGUUCAUUCAUCUGAAUCCCUUGUUCCAAUAAUUGAUAAUUUUCAUCCUCUUUUAAAGUUAAAUAUAAAAUUUACUGAUCCCUUUUUACAAAAUUCUUAUAAACUUCCACUAGUGUAUAAUUUCAAAAAUUGUGAUUUCAAUAAAAUUUCUCUUUUUCUAUCAAACAUCGAUUUUGAACUUAAUCUAGACAAUACUUUAACUUUUGAGGCUCAAAUAAAUAAAUUUUAUGAAAUAAUUUAUCAUACAUUCUCUUUAUUUAUUCCCAAAACAAAAAUGUUUAAUAAUUUUUCACCUGUUUGGCCAAAUGCUGAGCUUAGAAAACUCAUUAUUGAUAAGAAAUGUGCUCAUAAAAAAUUUAAACUUAGUCAUUCUCAUCAAGAUUAUCUUAUUCUCUCUAAUCUCCGCAAUAAAUGCAAAAAAUUAAUAUAUCUCUCCCAUACACAAUUUAUCACAAAUUUAGAAUCCAAACAAAUAUUAAACCUUUUUGGAAAUAUAUUAACUCACUGAAAAAAACUAAUAAUGUAGUACCAGAUUGCGUUAAAUAUCAAAAUCAUUCAUCUUCAAACAUCUAUGAACACAGGUCAAUUAUUUGCCAACUACUUUUCCAGUGUUUAUGAUACUGACUCAAGAAUCUUUAAUGAAGAGUCCCAAGAAAAUUUAAAUACGUCUUUAAUGAAUAAUAUAAAUGUUAAUUUAAGCUCCAUGUCUAUUGAUCAAAAUGAAAUUCAAGAGUUAUUAAAUAAUUUAGAUAUGAAUGCGAGUACGGGACCUGAUGGUGUACCUUCUUUAUUUCUAAAAUUGUGUAGUUUUGUAUUAAUUAAGCCACUUCCUUUAAUUUUUAAUAGAUCUUUACAUUUAGAUUAUUUUCCCAAUAUAUGGCAAAAAUCUUUUAUCACACUAGUACACAAAUCAGGAGAUAAGCAUAAUGUUUCAAAUUAUAGACCAAUUUCUAAAUUAUCACAUAUACCUAAACUAUUUGAAGCGAUUAUAAUAAAUAAAUUAACUAAACUAAUGUCGCCAUAUAUCUGUAAAAAUUAACAUGGCUUUAGAUCUAAAAUGUCAAUCUCAACCAAAUUUUUCAGUCAAAGAUACUUGAUUCUCUUAAUGAUUAUGUCCAAUUAGACUCAAUAUACACCGAUUUCCAGAAAGCUUUUGAUAAAGUAAAUCAUAGCCUACUUUUAAAUAGAUUAGUUUCUUUCGGAAUCCACGGUAAUUUUUUGGGUUGGAUAAAAUCCUAUAUUAGUUCACGUACUCAAGCAGUAAAAUUAUCCUUUCAUGUAUCAAAUAAUUUUUUAGUUAAUUCUGGAGUGCCUCAAGGUUCACAUCUGAGCCCUCUUCUAUUUACAUUAUUUAUAAAUGAUC